RNAcentral lists this ribosomal RNA (1138 nucleotides) under uncultured Alteromonas sp. RNAcentral's name for it is "bacterial SSU rRNA". It matches the Rfam family "Bacterial small subunit ribosomal RNA", at positions 58 to 1207 of the family's 1533-position model. Lineage: Bacteria; Pseudomonadati; Pseudomonadota; Gammaproteobacteria; Alteromonadales; Alteromonadaceae. The record is from RNAcentral.
CAAGUCGAGCGGUAACAGAUCCAGCUUGCUGGAUGCUGACGAGCGGCGGACGGGUGAGUAAUGCAUAGGAAUCUGCCCGAUAGUGGGGGAUAACCUGGGGAAACCCAGGCUAAUACCGCAUACGUCCUACGGGAGAAAGGGGGCUCCGGCUCCCGCUAUUGGAUGAGCCUAUGUCGGAUUAGCUAGUUGGUGAGGUAAUGGCUCACCAAGGCAACGAUCCGUAGCUGGUCUGAGAGGAUGAUCAGCCACAUCGGGACUGAGACACGGCCCGAACUCCUACGGGAGGCAGCAGUGGGGAAUAUUGGACAAUGGGCGCAAGCCUGAUCCAGCCAUGCCGCGUGUGUGAAGAAGGCCCUCGGGUUGUAAAGCACUUUCAGCGAGGAAGAACGCCUAGCGGUUAAUACCCGCUAGGAAAGACAUCACUCGCAGAAGAAGCACCGGCUAACUCCGUGCCAGCAGCCGCGGUAAUACGGAGGGUGCGAGCGUUAAUCGGAAUUACUGGGCGUAAAGCGCACGCAGGCGGUUUGUUAAGCUAGAUGUGAAAGCCCCGGGCUCAACCUGGGAUGGUCAUUUAGAACUGGCAGACUAGAGUCUUGGAGAGGGGAGUGGAAUUCCAGGUGUAGCGGUGAAAUGCGUAGAUAUCUGGAGGAACAUCAGUGGCGAAGGCGACUCCCUGGCCAAAGACUGACGCUCAUGUGCGAAAGUGUGGGUAGCGAACAGGAUUAGAUACCCUGGUAGUCCACACCGUAAACGCUGUCUACUAGCUGUGUGUGCCUUUAAGGCGUGCGUAGCGAAGCUAACGCGCUAAGUAGACCGCCUGGGGAGUACGGCCGCAAGGUUAAAACUCAAAUGAAUUGACGGGGGCCCGCACAAGCGGUGGAGCAUGUGGUUUAAUUCGAUGCAACGCGAAGAACCUUACCUACACUUGACAUGCUGAGAAGUUACUAGAGAUAGUUUCGUGCCUUCAGGAAUUCAGACACAGGUGCUGCAUGGCUGUCGUCAGCUCGUGUCGUGAGAUGUGGAUAAGUCCCGCAACGAGCGCACCCUUGUCUUAGCUGCAGCUUAGUGGGCACUCUAGAGACUGCCGAUGACAAACCGGAGAAGGUGGGACGACGUCAGGUCACUCAUGCCCUUACCU